UGAGGACAAGGAGGUCCAGAGGGACAUGAAGCUGGUUCCGUAUAAGAUUGUUAACAAGGAUGGAAAGCCUUAUAUCCAGGUCAAGAUCAAGGAUGGAGAAACUAAGGUCUUCAGUCCUGAGGAGAUCAGCGCUAUGAUCUUGACUAAGAUGAAGGAAACAGCAGAAGCAUACCUUGGGAAGAAAAUUAAGGAUGCUGUGGUUACUGUUCCUGGUGAGUGAAAGUAUCAAUUUGUUUUGACUGAUUUUGAGCUUUAUACGCAAAUACUUUAUGUCUGCUAAUAUGGUCUUCCUUGUCAUAAUGCAGCCUACUUCAAUGAUGCUCAGAGGCAAGCUACAAAGGAUGCUGGUGUUAUUGCUGGACUUAAUGUGGCUAGAAUUAUUAAUGAGCCAACCGCUGCUGCUAUUGCCUACGGUUUGGACAAGAGAGGCGGUGAAAAGAACAUCCUUGUUUUCGAUCUUGGUGGUGGAACAUUUGAUGUCAGUAUCUUGACUAUUGAUAAUGGUGUUUUUGAGGUCCUUUCAACAAAUGGAGACACUCAUUUGGGAGGUGAGAAUUGGCUCUGCCUUAUCUAGUUACCUUUUCAUAUGUUUUGCAUGUUGCGAGUGUAUGCUUAUGUUACAUGUUCUUCCAGGUGAGGACUUUGACCAAAGGAUUAUGGAAUACUUCAUUAAAUUGAUCAAGAAAAAGCAUGGAAAGGAUAUCAGCAAGGAUAAUAGGGCUCUUGGAAAGCUCAGGAGGGAGGCUGAACGGGCCAAGAGAGCUCUUAGCAGUCAGCAUCAAGUCCGUGUGGAGAUUGAGUCACUUUUUGAUGGCGUAGAUUUCUCUGAACCACUCACCAGAGCUCGCUUUGAAGAAUUAAACAAUGAUCUUUUCAGGAAGACCAUGGGACCUGUGAAGAAAGCAAUGGAAGAUGCUGGUUUGCAGAAAAACCAGAUCGAUGAAAUUGUUCUUGUUGGUGGCAGUACUAGAAUUCCCAAGGUUCAACAACUCCUUAAGGACUACUUUGAU
Molecule: long non-coding RNA, 1010 nt
Filed under: Ricinus communis (castor bean)
Lineage: Eukaryota; Viridiplantae; Streptophyta; Magnoliopsida; Malpighiales; Euphorbiaceae
Description: long non-coding RNA (RCOM_LNC001043)
Source: RNAcentral